Molecule: ribosomal RNA, 367 nt
Filed under: uncultured organism
Description: bacterial LSU rRNA
Rfam family: Bacterial large subunit ribosomal RNA
Source: RNAcentral
CUUCACUGCAUCUUGGGAUUGAAAUUGGACUUUACUUGCGCAGUAUAGGUGGGAGGCGUUGAAAAUUUUCUUGCGGGAAGAUUGGAGCCAUCAGUGAGAUACCACUCUUGUAAUGUUAGAUUUCUAACUUUGGAUCAUGAUCUGGUCAAAGGACAGUUUCAGGCGGGCAGUUUGACUGGGGCGGUCGCCUCCCAAACGGUAACGGAGGUGUACAAAGGUUUCCUCUGAACGGGUAGAAAUCGUAUCUAGAGUGUAAAGGCAUAAGGAAGCUUGACUGUGAGACCUACAAGUCGAGCAGGGACGAAAGUCGGUCUUAGUGAUCUGACGGUGCUGAGUGGAAAGGCCGUCACUCAACGGAUAAAAGUUA